GAUUGUGGGAAUAAUGAUAAUUGGUAUUACUGUUAUUUCUAUUUUUAAUCCUACUGCUAUUACUGUUAUUGCCAUUAUGUCAGUUUUAUUUCAGGUUCUUCGGUAUUGGUGACCAGAGAUAUUAAUGGUUCGAAUUGUCUUUGUCAGGUACAGGUAUGCAAAUCCUGUCAACACCUUUAUGACGGGCAGCCCACAGUUGUUCUCACCCCCAACACACUCACCCACGCCCAUCAUCAUCAUCCCCCGCCUCGCAAGCAGGCGAAGCCAUGGGCAGCUAGAAAGUACGAGGGGCUGUGUGUGUGCGCGGAGACCGGCGGCGUGUGUCGCUGCGGCGUGAGCAAGGGAUCCAAGUGGCAUCGCCUCCUUCCCCGCAACGCUCCCUGGUGGCCCAGAACCAAAGUCGUCCUCCUCACCCUCGCCGCCCUCACGCCGUGGGCAUGUCUCGUCCUCUACUUCAUCUUCGCCUACAGGACGUGAAAGCCCUUCGGUUUUCGUGGCCAGUUACGACCUCGCCCACCGCGACCAGCCGCUCGAGUGCCUGGCGGCAAUGAUGUGUUGUACAAGGACUUGGACUCAGUUCAUUUAUUUUUUUAUAUAGUCAAGCACCCAUUUUUCCUUUCGCUUUUCCAUAUAUUUUGUUUUGCACAUCGUAGUGUUGUUAGUAUUUUAAUAUUUUCUUUCCCUCUCUUCAAUCAUAUUAUUGUUGCAAAUACUAUACAUAAUUGUCCAUUUCAUAACAUAUUUCCUCCCCGAAAUCCAUGCCUCCUUGUUCAUAUUUCGUUGUUACACCAACUCUCUGUUCUGGAUUUCAUGCACAUUGAUUACUUCUUGUAAGUAAGUCCACGAUACGUUAUUUUGCAUAGGAUAACGCCCCAUGAAAUGGUAUCAACGCAAGUUUUGCCCAAGGCACUCCCAGAAGAGUGCAGUAUUCCUUCGGCUCAAGUUCUUCAUGGUGCUUCCGCUUCCAGAGUGUGUAAAGAGGGGCGUGUGGCUCUCUUUGCUGCUGGAGUAUGUGAUAUCUACAACGCUAUUUCCAUGAAACUGUUAUAUUUAGGUUAUUAGUCCUCCUCCUCACGGUGACUAUUUAUGCUAAGGCUUGAGUGCUCGCAUCUAUAAUAGAAAUGAUUAAUCAGAUAAUUGACUAUUCUUUGAUUUAUACAAUACUGCUUUGAUAAUCGGAUUUCAAAGCGAAUAUUGAAAUGUGAUUUCCAUUUUGUUAUUAACAAUUAUACUUAUAUACCAAUGCAUAAAUAUAUAUGGACAAAUGCAAUUAGGUGAAAAAUAAAUCUAAAUGCACUAA
This is a long non-coding RNA of Penaeus indicus, 1300 nucleotides long. RefSeq lists it as uncharacterized. The transcript has 2 exons. The record is from RefSeq and is a predicted model, not a curated record. Lineage: Eukaryota; Metazoa; Arthropoda; Malacostraca; Decapoda; Penaeidae.